CGGGCCAUAGUAUAACGGCAGUACGUACCCUUGGGGUGGGUAUAGCGGCGGUUCAAUUCCGCCUGGCCCGACCA
RNAcentral lists this transfer RNA (74 nucleotides) under Candidatus Doudnaibacteriota bacterium. Its description in RNAcentral is "Candidatus Doudnabacteria bacterium tRNA-Pro". It matches the Rfam family "tRNA". From Rfam's summary of the family: Transfer RNA (tRNA) molecules are approximately 80 nucleotides in length. Their secondary structure includes four short double-helical elements and three loops (D, anti-codon, and T loops). The record is from RNAcentral. Lineage: Bacteria; Candidatus Doudnaibacteriota.